AACCUUACCGGGUGGAUCACUCGGCUCGUAAC
RNAcentral lists this ribosomal RNA (32 nucleotides) under Meloidogyne naasi. RNAcentral describes it as "partial 5.8S ribosomal RNA". The record is from RNAcentral. Lineage: Eukaryota; Metazoa; Nematoda; Chromadorea; Rhabditida; Meloidogynidae.